Molecule: transfer RNA, 97 nt
Filed under: Coprinopsis cinerea okayama7#130
Lineage: Eukaryota; Fungi; Basidiomycota; Agaricomycetes; Agaricales; Psathyrellaceae
Also listed under: 1 other name
Rfam family: tRNA
About the family: Transfer RNA (tRNA) molecules are approximately 80 nucleotides in length. Their secondary structure includes four short double-helical elements and three loops (D, anti-codon, and T loops). Further hydrogen bonds mediate the characteristic L-shaped molecular structure. tRNAs have two regions of fundamental functional importance: the anti-codon, which is responsible for specific mRNA codon recognition, and the 3' end, to which the tRNAs corresponding amino acid is attached (by aminoacyl-tRNA synthetases). tRNAs cope with the degeneracy of the genetic code in two manners: having more than one tRNA (with a specific anti-codon) for a particular amino acid; and 'wobble' base-pairing, i.e. permitting non-standard base-pairing at the 3rd anti-codon position.
Source: Rfam by way of RNAcentral
GCCGCGUUGGCGUAGUGGUAGCGCGUCCCACUUGUAACAGCUUGUGAUAGCAAGCAAGUUCAUGGGAAGGUCACUCGUUCAAUCCGGGUACGUGGCA